Molecule: transfer RNA, 72 nt
Filed under: Bos taurus (domestic cattle)
Lineage: Eukaryota; Metazoa; Chordata; Mammalia; Artiodactyla; Bovidae
Also listed under: 1 other name
Rfam family: tRNA
About the family: Transfer RNA (tRNA) molecules are approximately 80 nucleotides in length.
Source: Rfam by way of RNAcentral
UCCCUGGUGGCUCAGUUGGUAAAGAAUCUGCCUGCAAUGCAGGAGACCCAGGUACCAUCCCUGGGUCGGGAA